This 103-nucleotide ribosomal RNA is filed under the name Agave hybrid cultivar. RNAcentral's name for it is "4.5S ribosomal RNA". The record is from RNAcentral. Lineage: Eukaryota; Viridiplantae; Streptophyta; Magnoliopsida; Asparagales; Asparagaceae.
GUUCAAAUCUCUCGGUCUGUUAGGAUGCCUCAGCUGCAUACAUCGCUGCACUUCCACUUGACACCUAUCGUAAUGAUAAACGGCUCGUCUCGCCGUGACCUUA